RNAcentral lists this ribosomal RNA (447 nucleotides) under uncultured bacterium. RNAcentral describes it as "bacterial SSU rRNA". It matches the Rfam family "Bacterial small subunit ribosomal RNA", at positions 331 to 793 of the family's 1533-position model. The record is from RNAcentral.
CCAGACUCCUACGGGAGGCAGCAGUGGGGAAUAUUGGACAAUGGGGGGAACCCUGAUGCAGCGACGCCGCGUGGGCGAAGAAGUAUUUCGGUAUGUAAAGCCCUAUCAGCAGGGAAGAAGAAAUGACGGUACCUGAGUAAGAAGCACCGGCUAAAUACGUGCCAGCAGCCGCGGUAAUACGUAUGGUGCAAGCGUUAUCCGGAUUUACUGGGUGUAAAGGGAGCGCAGGCGGCACGGCAAGCCUGAUGUGAAAGCCCGCGGCCCAACCGCGGGACUGCAUUGGGAACUACCGGGCUGGAGUGCCGGAGAGGUAGGCGGAAUUCCUAGUGUAGCGGUGAAAUGCGUAGAUAUUAGGAGGAACACCAGUGGCGAAGGCGGCCUGCUGGACGAUAACUGACGUUGAGGCUCGAAAGCGUGGGGAGCAAACAGGAUUAGAUACCCCGGUAU